This 50-nucleotide small nucleolar RNA is filed under the name Pyrobaculum aerophilum str. IM2. RNAcentral describes it as "PAEsR106". Lineage: Archaea; Thermoproteati; Thermoproteota; Thermoprotei; Thermoproteales; Thermoproteaceae. The record is from RNAcentral.
GUGGAGAUGGCCCGUCAUCGCUGAUAAGUGAUUGAAAAUUCGGGUGCUGA